UACGGAGGGUGCAAGCGUUAUCCGGAUUCACUGGGUUUAAAGGGUGCGUAGGCGGAUAUGUAAGUCAGUGGUGAAAUCUCCGGGCUUAACUCGGAAACUGCCGUUGAUACUAUAUGUCUUGAAUUUUAUGGAGGUAAGCGGAAUAUGUCAUGUAGCGGUGAAAUGCUUGGAUAUGACAUAGAACACCGAUAGCGAAGGCAGCUUACUACAUAAUUAUUGACGCUGAGGCACGAAAGCGUGGGGAGCAAACAGG
Molecule: ribosomal RNA, 253 nt
Filed under: uncultured bacterium
Lineage: Bacteria
Description: partial 16S ribosomal RNA
Rfam family: Bacterial small subunit ribosomal RNA
Source: RNAcentral